UACGUAGGGCGCAAGCGUUGUCCGGAAUCACUGGGCGUAAAGGGCGCGUAGGCGGGAUGGCAAGUCGGUCGUGAAAUCUCUCGGCUCAACCGAGAAACGUCGGCCGAUACUGCCGUUCUUGAGGGAUGCAGAGGAGACUGGAAUUCCCGGUGUAGCGGUGAAAUGUGUAGAGAUCGGGAGGAACACCGGUGGCGAAGGCGGGUCUCUGGGCAUUUCCUGACGCUGAGGCGCGAAAGCGUGGGGAGCAAACGGG
RNAcentral lists this ribosomal RNA (253 nucleotides) under uncultured bacterium. RNAcentral's name for it is "partial 16S ribosomal RNA". It matches the Rfam family "Bacterial small subunit ribosomal RNA", at positions 524 to 776 of the family's 1533-position model. The record is from RNAcentral.